This 77-nucleotide transfer RNA is filed under the name Candidatus Nomurabacteria bacterium. RNAcentral's name for it is "tRNA-Val". It matches the Rfam family "tRNA". Rfam says of the family: Transfer RNA (tRNA) molecules are approximately 80 nucleotides in length. Their secondary structure includes four short double-helical elements and three loops (D, anti-codon, and T loops). Lineage: Bacteria; Candidatus Nomuraibacteriota. The record is from RNAcentral.
GGGUUGUUAGCUCAGUUGGCUAGAGAGCCUCGUUUACACCGAGGAGGUCGGGGGUUCGAGCCCCUAACAACCCACCA